CGGAGUCUGGGGAGAGUUCGAUCCCGUCCCAAACCCGGAAUGCUGAGCAGGACCUUUCCUGUUUAACAACGUCGAGGGAGAAAAACUCGGUUCCUAAUAAAAUCUACGCCUACGGUCAGGUGGGCCACGCCCAUUUUCAGUGAGCAAGACCUGAGGAGAUGGUGGCAAGGAAAAACUCCCUGAGAUGACAUGAGGAAGAAACCUUGACAGGAACCAGACUCAGAUGGGAACCUCAUCCUCAUCUGAUGGACACUGGACUGUAAAUAAUGUAACUAAUGUCCUUUCUACAACAGUUUAUAAUCACGUGGAAUUGUGCAACCCAGAGCUCCUGAGGAACUGAAAGUGAUAUCAUUCAAGACCAAUUUUCUGAAGUGUAUUAACGUACUGCAUCUCCACCUGGUACACCAGCAGCUCAGAGGUGGACAAGAAAGCCCUCCAGGGGGUGAUGUGAUCAACUCGACUGCUCUCUGCCUUCCUUAAAGGAACCUUAUACAGUAUGUUGCCUUAAAAUGACAGCAAACAUCCUACUGUAAAAAGGCCCUUCUCAUUCUGGACAUCACAUAUUUAAACUGCUGCCCCUUGGCAAACGAUUCAGGUCCAUCACUUCACGAACCGAAUAGACCUAACAACAGCUUCUACCUCAGAAACAUACAGGAGCUAAACGCUGCACUUAACAUACACAUAAGGUGAAGGAUCGCAACAAUUCUGAUCCAGUAUUUUACAUUCUGCAGCACUUUAUAUCUAUAUUAUCUGACAUGUUUACAUGCCGUGACACUUUAAUACCCUCUCAUUAUAUGCAAAUCCCC
Long non-coding RNA from Hemibagrus wyckioides, 806 nucleotides. RefSeq lists it as uncharacterized. The record is from RefSeq and is a predicted model, not a curated record. The transcript is spliced from 3 exons. Lineage: Eukaryota; Metazoa; Chordata; Actinopteri; Siluriformes; Bagridae.